Molecule: ribosomal RNA, 253 nt
Filed under: uncultured bacterium
Lineage: Bacteria
Description: partial 16S ribosomal RNA
Rfam family: Bacterial small subunit ribosomal RNA
Source: RNAcentral
UACGUAGGGUGCAAGCGUUGUCCGGAAUUAUUGGGCGUAAAGAGCUCGUAGGCGGCUUGUCGCGUCGAAUGUGAAAACCCACGGCUCAACUGUGGGCUUGCAUUCGAUACGGGCAGGCUAGAGUUCGGUAGGGGAGACUGGAAUUCCUGGUGUAGCGGUGAAAUGCGCAGAUAUCAGGAGGAACACCGGUGGCGAAGGCGGCUCUCUGGGACGGUACUGACGCUGAGACGCGAAAGCGUGGGGAGCGAACAGG